This is a long non-coding RNA of Triticum dicoccoides, 907 nucleotides long. RefSeq lists it as uncharacterized. The record is from RefSeq and is a predicted model, not a curated record. The transcript has 2 exons. Lineage: Eukaryota; Viridiplantae; Streptophyta; Magnoliopsida; Poales; Poaceae.
CCAUCCUAGUACUAUUCUCGCUCAAAUGGGUUUCAUACCUAUGGGACUGGCUAGUUUUUACGUUGGCUCGCCAAGCCUAUCACAACCCUCCUCCUUUACCCGGGCUUGGGACCGGCUAUGCCUAAAAGACAUAGGCGGAGUUUCAGUUUUCACUAAAUACAAAUUAAAAAAUAAUAUAUAUAUGAACCUUUUCAUUAGCUUUGGCUGCACGUUUCUGGAUAAUGUCAAUAUCAAUAUUUGUAAGUACUCUUAUGAACUCAUAUGAUGCAUCUCCCACUUUUUUUUAUCUGCAAGGUACCUGACAUAGUGUUUGGACAGACUUAUUUCUGGUAGUAACUUCUCCAUUGUGAAACUACUUUCCACUACAGUAGCUUGCGGACAAUGUGGGCUACUACAAGACCGAGACCUGCAUAGAUGAUUACAUUUAGGAGUGAAUGGUGAAGAAAAUCACCAAAAUGGAAGGAGUUCUGUAUUAUGAUCUAUUACAAUGUGCUUGAAGCAAUACAGAACCAUGAUUAUACUUGGUAUAGUACAAACUAAAUGUACAAUACAGACUUCCAAGUAGAAUCUUUGGCCUACAGCUCACCUGUUAUCUGUCACUUUAGCAGUUACUUGGGUGGGACAACCAAUGUAUAGAUAAGAAAUGCCGAAACGAAGAUAAUCACCCCUACUAAGGUACAUAUUGGGCUUGUUCACAACAUCAAGUUAGACCUCUCGGCUCUUUUGAUUGGAUCGACUUCUUCUGACAAUGGAUACUCAAUGCGCCGUGGGUUACAGGUCACAUAUUUGUUCGGUGAGAACUCUGAGAAUAGGGUCUUCUUCCCUUUCUUCUUAAAACUAGACCAAGCCUUAUCCCAGUCGGUUGAUGAUGUAUCACCUGAAAAGUUAGAUAAGAGAAAUGAUUCAA